Hydra vulgaris (swiftwater hydra) is the source of this 333-nucleotide long non-coding RNA. RefSeq lists it as uncharacterized. NCBI's taxonomy places the organism in Eukaryota, Metazoa, Cnidaria, Hydrozoa, Anthoathecata, Hydridae. The record is from RefSeq and is a predicted model, not a curated record.
AAAAAGUUUAAAGUUUCAUAUCUGCCCCCGUUAAACAUUUUAAACCAAGUGCUCAACAAUGACAAUUCAGAUAACUAUCGAAAUAGUAUUAUACUGUGUUUAUAGUUUUGAAAGAGUCAACUCAGACCGCUAUUAACUGGUUAUGCACAAGGCAUUUUAGAUUUGCAAGCGUAGGGGAUGAAUCUUGACAGGCUGUUAAUUUUAUAGAAGCUAAUGUUGACCUUAUUUUAAAUAUAAUAGAGUGUUAUUGUCUGGAGGUGUUUGAUAUUCAGUCAGUAGAACAUGCAAAAUAUUGAAAUGAUUUGCUGCUGUGACUGUGUUUAUGAUUAUCCA